CCUACGGGAGGCAGCAGUGAGGAAUAUUGGUCAAUGGACGAGAGUCUGAACCAGCCAAGUAGCGUGAAGGAUGACUGCCCUAUGGGUUGUAAACUUCUUUUAUAUGGGAAUAAAAUGUUCCACGUGUGGGAUUUUGUAUGUACCAUAUGAAUAAGGAUCGGCUAACUCCGUGCCAGCAGCCGCGGUAAUACGGAGGAUCCGAGCGUUAUCCGGAUUUAUUGGGUUUAAAGGGUGCGUAGGUGGAUUGUUAAGUCAGUUGUUAAAGUUUGGGGCUCAACCGUAAAAUUGCAUUUGAUACUGGAAGUCUUGAGUACAGUAGAGGUAGGCGGAAUUCGUGGUGUAGCGGUGAAAUGCUUAGAUAUAACGAAGAACUCCGAUUGCGAAGGCAGCUCACUGGACUGCAACUGACACUGAGGCUCGAGAGUGUGGGUAUCAAACAGGAUUAGAUACCCGAGUAGUC
RNAcentral lists this ribosomal RNA (460 nucleotides) under uncultured bacterium. RNAcentral describes it as "partial 16S ribosomal RNA". It matches the Rfam family "Bacterial small subunit ribosomal RNA", at positions 338 to 795 of the family's 1533-position model. The record is from RNAcentral.